GACAGAGGCCUCGAGCGUUAGGCGGAAUCACUGGGCUUAAAGCGUGUGUAGGCGGGCCCGUAAGUGUCUUGUGAAAUCCCACGGCUCAACCGUGGAACUGCUGGGCAUACUGCGGGUCUUGGGCCAACUAGGGGCAGCCGGAACAAGCGGUGGAGCGGUGAAAUGCGUAGAUAUCUGGAGGAAUACCGGUGGCGAAGGCGGCAUCCUGGACCGGCAUUGACGCUGGUGAGCGAAAGCUAGGGGAGCAAACGGG
This 253-nucleotide ribosomal RNA is filed under the name uncultured bacterium. RNAcentral's name for it is "partial 16S ribosomal RNA". It matches the Rfam family "Bacterial small subunit ribosomal RNA", at positions 524 to 776 of the family's 1533-position model. The record is from RNAcentral.